RNAcentral lists this ribosomal RNA (484 nucleotides) under uncultured bacterium. RNAcentral describes it as "partial 16S ribosomal RNA". It matches the Rfam family "Bacterial small subunit ribosomal RNA", at positions 30 to 507 of the family's 1533-position model. The record is from RNAcentral.
AUUGAACGCUGGCGGCAGGCCUAACACAUGCAAGUCGAGCGGUAGAGCGAAGCUUGCUUCUCUUGAGAGCGGCGGACGGGUGAGUAAUGCCUAGGAAUCUGCCUGGUAGUGGGGGAUAACGUUCGGAAACGGACGCUAAUACCGCAUACGUCCUACGGGAGAAAGCAGGGGACCUUCGGGCCUUGCGCUAUCAGAUGAGCCUAGGUCGGAUUAGCUAGUUGGUGGGGUAAUGGAUCACCAAGGCGACGAUCCGUAACUGGUCUGAGAGGAUGAUCAGUCACACUGGAACUGAGACACGGUCCAGACUCCUACGGGAGGCAGCAGUGGGGAAUAUUGGACAAUGGGCGAAAGCCUGAUCCAGCCAUGCCGCGUGUGUGAAGAAGGUCUUCGGAUUGUAAAGCACUUUAAGUUGGGAGGAAGGGCAGUAAAUUAAUACUUUGCUGUUUUGACGUUACCGACAGAAUAAGCACCGGCUAACUCUGUG